UUAAAUUGAAGAGUUUGAUCAUGGCUCAGAUUGAACGCUGGCGGCAGGCCUAACACAUGCAAGUCGAACGGCAGCACAGAAGAGCUUGCUCUUUGGGUGGCGAGUGGCGGACGGGUGAGUAAUGUCUGGGAAACUGCCCGAUGGAGGGGGAUAACUACUGGAAACGGUAGCUAAUACCGCAUAACGUCGC
Molecule: ribosomal RNA, 190 nt
Filed under: Pantoea dispersa 625
Lineage: Bacteria; Pseudomonadati; Pseudomonadota; Gammaproteobacteria; Enterobacterales; Erwiniaceae
Description: partial 16S ribosomal RNA
Rfam family: Bacterial small subunit ribosomal RNA
Source: RNAcentral